RNAcentral lists this non-coding RNA (24 nucleotides) under Arabidopsis thaliana (thale cress). Lineage: Eukaryota; Viridiplantae; Streptophyta; Magnoliopsida; Brassicales; Brassicaceae. The record is from RNAcentral.
GGGAUCCGGUGCAUUAGUGCUGGU